Molecule: long non-coding RNA, 950 nt
Filed under: Setaria italica (foxtail millet)
Lineage: Eukaryota; Viridiplantae; Streptophyta; Magnoliopsida; Poales; Poaceae
Description: long non-coding RNA (SITA_LNC006594)
Source: RNAcentral
CUCACAAGCACAACUAGUUGAACAUCAUUACAACAUAAGCAUAUCCCUACAUGCAUCAAGUAGGAGCUAAGCAAACAUAUACAUAAUAUUAACUCAUGCGUAUCCAAGACACAUAUACAUCAUAUUGAUUCAAAAUAGGGUUAAGAGAUGCUUAGGUGCCUGCCAUGGAGUUCAAAGGAAGCGUUGUUGGCAAUGGGCUCCAGCUCGGGCUCACCCACCUUUUGCUCUGAUGUUUCGAUUUCUACACGAAUGCAACGAUGCAUAAUUAAUAAAAUGCAUGAAGAUGGUGCAAAUGAUGUAUGAGAUGCAUGGAAAAGAAGGUAACUAUUUUUAUCAUACUAGCACAUCAAUUCAAAGCAUCUGAUACAUGAUAGAACACUUAAAUCCUACACAAAACAAGGUUAUAUUCACGUUUUUCCUCAAUGACAGAACUGUAAAUAACUCGUCAAGUUCCCCAAAAUGGCAUAAUUGGUGAUUCCGGCGACCGGUUGCAGUAGGGUUUGAUCCUAGAGCUUCCUUAGGUGAUGGGGAUUCAUUUUUUGGUCAUAGCAAUGACAUGCACGGAGGUUUGGAUGACAUGCAAUAUCAAUGGAGAUAAGCUUCUAUGGAGGUUAAUGGAGGAGCUUCCAAUGAAGGAGAGAGGAGGGGGAAAAUAUAGGGGAACCUCACCAAGGGGAAGGACGAUUUAGAGAACUGCAGGUUGGAGGAGUAGAGCGAUGGUGAAGAAGAUUGGCGACGAGCUUGCUUCAUCGGAGUUGGGGAAGAAGCACGCGAAAAAACAGUGUGCUUAGUCCUUGUCUCGGGGAAGAUGGAGGGCAAUGUGGGAAGGAGGAGGAGCUCGCCCUUGGCCUAGCCGAGGCCUGGCCGGGCGGUGCUGCCCCUGGUCGACGGCGCAGGCGAGUAGAGGGGCAGAGUGGCACUGGCUCGGGAGGAAAAGAACGAGAGAAGAG